Long non-coding RNA from Pyrus x bretschneideri (Chinese white pear), 607 nucleotides. RefSeq lists it as uncharacterized. The record is from RefSeq and is a predicted model, not a curated record. The transcript is spliced from 2 exons. NCBI's taxonomy places the organism in Eukaryota, Viridiplantae, Streptophyta, Magnoliopsida, Rosales, Rosaceae.
UCGCCGUCGCAUUACUCUCCUUCUCCUAUUCCAUGAAAACCCACCGUGUUUUUCUUUCAACCAUUUCUUCUCCGAUUUCCAUUUGUUUUCUGAUUCGACCUUUAUGGAGACGCUGUUUCCAAAAUACCCUAGGGUUAAUUGUCGUGGUUGACAGCAAUGAUUGGGACCGUGUUGUUGAGGCGGGGAAUGAGAUGCACAGGAUGUUGAUGGACACCCAUGUAUUGCUAAUUAUUGGUAGAUUAAAAAAUCAAUCAAGUAAAAAAAACCGCAACACUUUCCAAAGACCAGACAAGUUCGGAUCGACCGAACUGGGUGAAAGAGGCCAAAUUGGGUCGGACAGGAAUGUGCAUUCCAAAAGUAUACAUAUAUUAAAACUUAACACAAAAUCACUGUUCAUUAACAGUGAACGGACGAAAGUGCCUUCUAAUUCUUUUGUUAUUGACAAUUUUUUCCAAUCACACAGCAAAAAGAUCGUUUUGACCUUGUAGCCUACAAGUCAUCAUCGCUUCACAUUCUCUUUUGACAAAACACUCUUCAUAUGUAUUUUGGAUCUAUACUAACAUGUAUGUUUUUAUGAGGGAAUAUUAUUUUUUCUUGAUGAAGAAUA